Molecule: small nuclear RNA, 106 nt
Organism: Equus asinus (donkey)
Lineage: Eukaryota; Metazoa; Chordata; Mammalia; Perissodactyla; Equidae
Source: Ensembl
GUGCUCAUUUUGGCAGUACAUAUACUAAAAUUGGAUGAUAUAGAGAAGAUUAGCAUGGUCCCUGCAUAAGUAUGACAUGCAAAUUUGUAAAGCAUUCCAUGUUUUU